This 484-nucleotide ribosomal RNA is filed under the name uncultured bacterium. Its description in RNAcentral is "SSU rRNA". It matches the Rfam family "Bacterial small subunit ribosomal RNA", at positions 26 to 521 of the family's 1533-position model. The record is from RNAcentral.
AGAAUGAACGUUGGCGGCGUGGAUUAGGCAUGCAAGUCGAACGAAUCCCAUUUGGGUAACUGGAUGGGGGAAGUGGCGAAAGGGGCAGUAAGGCAUAGGUAACCUACCCUGGAGUUGGGCAUAGCCAUUCUAACGAAUGGGUAAUUCCCGAUGGCCCAGCGAGGAGACAUCUCUUUGCUGGUAAAGAGUUUCGCUCCGGGAGGGGCCUAUGUGCUAUUAGCUAGUUGGCGGGGUAACGGCCCACCAAGGCUAAGAUGGCUAGCGGGUGUGAGAGCACGACCCGCGCCACUGGCACUGAGACACUGGCCAGACACCUACGGGUGGCUGCAGUCGAGGAUCUUCGUCAAUGGGCGAAAGCCUGAACGAGCGACGCCGCGUGCGCGAUGAAGGCCUUCGGGUUGUAAAGCGCGAAAGUGGGACGAAAGCUGAAAGGUUUGACUGAUCCACAGUAAGCUCGGGCUAAGUUCGCGCCAGCAGCCGCGGU